AGCGCAGGCGGUUUUUUAAGUCUGAUGUGAAAGCCCUCGGCUUAACCGAGGAAGCGCAUCGGAAACUGGGAAACUUGAGUGCAGAAGAGGACAGUGGAACUCCAUGUGUAGCGGUGAAAUGCGUAGAUAUAUGGAAGAACACCAGUGGCGAAGGCGGCUGUCUGGUCUGUAACUGACGCUGAGGCUCGAAAGCAUGGGUAGCGAACAGAAUUAGAUACUCUGGUA
This 225-nucleotide ribosomal RNA is filed under the name uncultured Lactobacillus sp. RNAcentral's name for it is "partial 16S ribosomal RNA". It matches the Rfam family "Bacterial small subunit ribosomal RNA", at positions 568 to 792 of the family's 1533-position model. The record is from RNAcentral. Lineage: Bacteria; Bacillati; Bacillota; Bacilli; Lactobacillales; Lactobacillaceae.